AGAAAAAUUGUGCAGGUUUCUCCUCCCAUUGGCGACUUCGCACGAUGGCAAUGUUGAGCAGUGUAGGGUUGAUCAUGAUCAUGUGACAGACAGCUUUGGGAGAGAACAGCUCUGAACACAGAAACAUCAGGCGCAACUAAAAGGAGUUUCCACAGCGUGAGAGACAGAGCCUACAAGUGAACAUUGCCCUGCUUUAGAACCGUUAUUCAAGUGCUCUGAACGACGUCGACGGUCAGCGGAAAGUUCUGGGAAGAAGCUGUUUUUAACAGCCUGGAUAAAGAAAGGUUUGGUGGCGAUAAAAAAACAAACAUUAUCUGUUGAAGAGGAGAGACGCACAAAUCCCAGCGGGCAUGCGGGAGUUUUUGGAGUUAUUUGACGGCAAACAUUCUGUAAACAAAUAAGAACUUCGCGAAGAUUCUUUUCGCCGAUUGCGUCAUCAGUUCGUUUUUUUUAAAAAAAACUUAUGAUUGAGGGUGAUACAAAGUUUCAAGAUUGCGUUUGAAAAGUAGCGAAAUCGGGGCAGGAGUUUGGAAUAAAGCUGGGAAAACAAAUCAAAGCCCUCCGUUUGCUAAUUUUGUAGGGGGCUGUCGUGUUUUCCCGAAGUUUAACGCUGCUUUUUGAGUUUUUCUGGGGGUGAUAUUUUAAACAUGGUUGGGGAAAUGGAAACGAAGGAGAAGCCUAAGCCGACUCCUGAUUAUCUGAUGCAGCUCAUGAACGACAAGAAACUGAUGAGCAGCCUGCCAAACUUCUGUGGUAUCUUCAACCAUCUCGAGCGACUGUUAGAUGAAGAAAUUGGACGGGUACGGAAGGACAUGUACAAUGACACGCUGAACGGCAGCACAGAUAAAAGGACUUCCGAGCUCCCGGAUGCUGUGGGGCCCAUUGCACAACUCCAAGAGAAACUCUAUGUGCCUGUCAAAGAAUACCCAGACUUCAAUUUUGUGGGAAGAAUCCUGGGGCCCCGGGGCCUGACAGCCAAGCAACUAGAGGCAGAGACGGGCUGCAAAAUUAUGGUGCGAGGCAAAGGCUCCAUGAGAGACAAGAAGAAGGAAGAGCAAAACAGAGGAAAGCCCAACUGGGAACACCUGAACGAAGACCUGCACGUCCUCAUCACUGUGGAAGACUCUCAGAACCGUGCUGAGAUCAAACUCAAGAGAGCCGUCGAAGAGGUCAAGAAACUGCUAGUCCCUGCGGCUGAAGGUGAAGACAGCUUGAAAAAGAUGCAGCUGAUGGAGCUGGCCAUUCUCAACGGCACUUACAGAGACGCCAAUGUCAAGUCACCAGCCUUAGCCUUCUCCCUGGCAGCCACAGCACAAGCUCCCCGCAUUAUCACCGGCCCCUCCCCGGUGAUGCCCACUGCGGCACUGCGCACCCCUGCUCCCACCGCACCCACCCUCAUGCCCCUCAUCCGACAGAUCCAGACCUCUGCCAUCAUGCCCACAGGCACGCCCCAUCCAGCCGCGACUCUCGUACCCCAGACCCCUGAGUCAGGCAUUAUCUAUGCACCCUACGAGUACCCAUACACCCUUGCACCUGCGACAUCCAUUCUUGAAUAUCCUAUUGACUCAAGUGGUGUUUUAGGUAUGGCUUUCCCGACAAAAGGCUAGUAAUGCUCAGGGGUUUAACACAGUCUUCAGCCCAUACGAGUGUUAAAAACGCUUUGCUUAACAGCUGCCUUGGAACAAAAAAAGACAAAAGAGCAAACGAAGAAACUGAUUUUUAUAAGAAACAAAAGACUAAAGAUCAUUACUACUCAUGUUUACACUGGUCUUAACUGUUUUGUUGACUUAUUCAUAGAUUAAAAUGGAUAUUUUCAGAUAAAUACUGAUAAUUAAGCCUUAUUACAUUCCUUUGUUUGAAACGUAAUCUAUAUUUGUUUAGCUUGUAAUUUUUGUAUUACUUAUUCUCCUGCAACUGUAUCUUAGAUAUUUAGAGAGUGAUCAGUAUUAUGGCUAAUAUAUCAUGCUUGUGAAAAUCUUUCUCCAUGAAAUAGCCUGUAGUGAAUUCAUAUUAUCUGAAGCUUGUGUGUUAAGAAAAAUACAAAGGCUCUAUAGUCAUUGUAUAAAUUAGUCAAGAGGGUCAAAAAAGUGUUUUUAUGGAAAUGCAACAGUUUUACUGGGAAACUGAGUAAGGGCAACAACUUACAUUGUGAUUUCACUAUAACAGAGCCCUGGAGAAAAGGUCACUUGUGCCUUGCAGUUUGGUCUUACAAGCCUUGUUUGUGAAACAAUGUGUUAAAUGUAGUUUUAAUGUAUUAUGAUGAAUAAUCUGUUAAUUCUUGUUUUGUUGGCAAUGUUGCGCUCUGAGCAGGUGCAGUGACUACUAAAGUACGAAGGCAGGAUAUGCGCGUCCAUCCUUACCAAAGGGUAGUGACCGCAGAACGAGCCGCCACCGGCAACUAACCAAUGACCCUCUGAACUCUUCACCCAAUGAUGACCUGACCAUUGCCUGCCUGCUGACCAGUUCUCUGGCUCUCGUCCUUCGCUUCUAUGUUUUGGCGGCCUGCUGGUGAGCCCAGAAGCAGCUUUAAUUCGCUUAACACAGCCGAGAAGCCAUGAUGGCCCACCCGCAGAACAGAAUCGCUCCCCUUCUCAAAACGAGGACCUCCUUGGUCAGGUGACCUGGGCUUCCCAGCCUGCACUGAAGUGUCAUAAAGCAAUAACGCUGUCUGGGCGACACCCUGUUGUUAGCCUUUCACAUGCACGCACUAAAUAAUCACACAUCUUUAUUGGUUUCUAAAAAUUAAGCAUAAUAUUCUAUAUAACUCUGUGCACUGCAGUUCUCAUGCCAUCCUGAAGAGUUUGAAAAAAAACCCAGCAGUUUAUUUUUAAACUGAUUUAUAGGUCCAAAUGUCCGUAAGGGAUGUAAAAGCCAUGCUUGCCUACCAGCGUUUUUCUUCAGAGAGCUGUCGAAAAAGCAUCCAGACACAUGAGCAAGUGUACAAAUACUGAACGUCAAUUAAUAUCUUUUUCAUACAAGGGUGCUGCACACAAAAAGAAUAUAUAUAUUUUUCAAAGGCGAUCCUUUUUGUAUUCAAAAACAAAGCAGUAUUGUCAAAAUGUGAUGAACAAACGACGUUUAUUUCCUUAUGACAAAUUUUAGAGACCAAAACAGUGUCUUUUUUGAUAAUAAUAAUAACAAAGUGCCUUAUUUUACACAAUAUCAUCAAUUACGAACAAGUAUGAAUGUCCAUCGAUGUGUUAUAUGCCAACAUAUCAGGUAUUUCUGUUCAAUUCCUCUUUAUUCAUCAAAACGAGGUGUACUGAACAAUGUCACAGGCGUUUUAUGUGCAUUUUAUAUUUUUCUUUACAAAUAACAAUUGAGUUUUACCCUGUCACACUACAUUAGGUGUUAAUUGAGCUUUUGAUGCUCACAAUAUGUUUGUUUUUGAUAAUAUGUGUGUAUGAGCUCUCUACCAUCACUACAUCUGUUACACGACAAUGAAGCCCCUUCGAUAUGUUACUAGUCACUAUUUCCGUAUUUUCAGGGUGAAUAUUAUUAGGGUUUGGAGUUAAUUAGUACAGAAGGUGUACUAGAGAAGCAUGUUUGACAUGUCACCAUUCUCCUUGCCUUCCUAUGCAAACAAUUUUCAGUUUUAAAAUAAAUUUCCUUCAGUUGGUCUUCCAGUUAAAUUUCAAACCAUUUCAGUGCUAAAGAACAAAAAAAAAGAACUAAAAGCGUAUUAACAAAUUAUAGUUGCAUUUUGUUAUUUGGUUAUCAUAACUGGAUUUUGAGAAGAUGCAUCUCCUUUUCUAAUAAUGUUGGUUGUAUUUAUGCAGAGCAAAUGCAAUACUUUUUAGAUGUUUGAGGUUGUGAUGCAGUUGCAUGUCAAUUUUUUUUAUUAACCUGGAAAUUGCUAAAGAAAAAAUCCUGCAGUUGAAGUCAAAAGUUUACACACACCUUGCAGAAUCUGCAAAAUGUUAAUUAUUUUACCAAAUCGUACAAGGGAUCGUACAAAAUGCAUGCUAUUUUUUUAUUUAGUACUGACCUGAAUAAGAAAUUUCACAUAAAAGACGUUUACAUAUAGUCUACAAGAGAAAAUAAUAGUUGAAUUUAUAAAAAUUACCCUGUUCAAAAGUUGACAUAGACUUUUAGUGAUAGUUGUUCUUGAGUCCCUUGUUUGUCCUGAACAGUUAAACUGCCUGCUGUUCUUCAGAAAAAUCCUUCAGGUUCCACAAAUGCUUUGGUUUUUCAGCAUUUUUGUGAAUUUGAACCCUUUCCAAUAAUGCCUGUAUGGUUGGGGUUUCAACUUUUGACACUGAGGACAACUGAGGGACUCAUAUGCAACUAUUACAACAACUAUUACAAAAGGUUGAAAUGCUCACUGAUGCUUCAGAAGGAAAAAACAUGCAUUAAGAGCUGGGGGUGAAAACUUUUGGAAUUUUUUUGAAGAUAAGGGUAAAUUUAACUUAUUUUGUCUUCUGGGAAGCAUGUAUCUUCUGUAGAUUCUGAAGGGAAGUACUGCAUGAAAAAAUAUGAUUUAUAGGCAAAAUAAGAAAAAUGUUCACAUCCUCAUUCUGUUCAAAAGUUUACACCCCUGGCUCUUAAUUCAUUGUUUUUUUCCUGAAACAUCAGUGUGAGCAUUUGACCCUUCUGUAAUUGUUGCAUAUGAGUCCCUCAGUUGUCCUCAGUGCGCAAAAAUCAAAAAUACACACUUUUGUGGGUGUUUUAACUGUUCAGGACAAACAAGGGACUAAUGAACAGUGUGAAUCAUUCAGGUAACAACACAGUGUUAAGAAUCAAGUGUAUGUAAACUUUUGAACGGGGUAAUUUGUAUAAAUUCAACUAUUAUUUUCUCUUGUGGAUUAUAUUUAAACAUCUUUUAUGUGAAAUAUCUUAUUCACACCAGUACUGAAUAAAAAACAGCAUGCAUUUUGUAUGACCCCUUUUAUUUUGGUAAAAUAAUUAACAUUUUGUAAAUUCUACAAAGUGUAUGUAUUUGACUUCAAAUGUACAUAUAAUGGAUGGAAAUUGUUUUUAAAAGUUCUCUCACCCUGUCAGAUCGACUAGGAACUGGAGUUAUUUGUUAAUGUGUGUGUUUUUUUUGGUUUAGUGUUUGCUUUCCAUGCAGUAUUAUUAUAGACUGUGUCAAUAUGUGUGUGAGCAUGUUUUAUGGGUGAUUGUGUGAGUGAGUGUGAGUGUUUAUGUAUUGUAUAUGCCAAUGAACUGCAACUCUACAUUCAAGCUUAUUUUUGUUGUCAUUUUUUUUUUUUUUUUUUGUCUUUUUUGCGAACCCAAGCAGCUCCCUGCAUUGGAAAAUAUACAGUCCUAUUUAUAACCAUUGUAACAUUUUAUAAUGUAUUUUUCUAUCAUAUUUUGUAUGUGAGAAAUAACAUUAAAUCACAUUUCCAGAUAUGAACAGUAUGCCUUAUUACAAAAGAAAAAAAUUGAUAUGAGAGACAUAUUUUCCCAUGAUGAACAAUAUGAUUUGGUUCCAGCCUCACUCUGAACAAGUGGUUUUUUAUUUGCUGGGGUGUUUGGUUUGUCAUUGUUGCUUUGCCUCUGUGCCUUCUUAUGUAAAUUGUAAGCUAUUAACCAUUUCUAGUUAUAUAAUUUGAUUAAUCGUUUCUCGCCGAUUGUACUAACAUUUGAUGAUUUCUAUUCAUUAACCCCGUCAAUAAUUUCUUUUGUCUGCUUUGAAAUCUCUAGAACAGGAUUUGUGUGAAAUUAAGCAAAAGAGUGUUUUACUGACUGAUAUAUGCUGGACUAAACUCUGUACUGAGAAGCAAUAGCGAAAUAUUAAAAUCUUAGUUUUAAAAAAAGAAA
This is an RNA transcript of Labeo rohita (rohu), 5766 nucleotides long. It is a transcript of the gene named QKI, KH domain containing, RNA binding 2, with no coding region annotated. The record is from RefSeq and is a predicted model, not a curated record. The transcript is spliced from 8 exons. NCBI's taxonomy places the organism in Eukaryota, Metazoa, Chordata, Actinopteri, Cypriniformes, Cyprinidae.